Molecule: non-coding RNA, 28 nt
Filed under: Homo sapiens (human)
Lineage: Eukaryota; Metazoa; Chordata; Mammalia; Primates; Hominidae
Source: RNAcentral
UGGGAAAGAGCCGACAGGGAUUAUUGCA